AGAGUUUGAUCCUGGCUCAGGAUGAACGCUAGCUACAGGCUUAACACAUGCAAGUCGAGGGGAAACGACAUCGAAAGCUUGCUUUUGAUGGGCGUCGACCGGCGCACGGGUGAGUAACGCGUAUCCAACCUGCCCACCACUUGGGGAUAACCUUGCGAAAGUAAGACUAAUACCCAAUGACGUCUCUAGAAGACAUCUGAAAGAGAUUAAAGAUUUAUCGGUGAUGGAUGGGGAUGCGUCUGAUUAGCUUGUUGGCGGGGUAACGGCCCACCAAGGCGACGAUCAGUAGGGGUUCUGAGAGGAAGGUCCCCCACAUUGGAACUGAGACACGGUCCAAACUCCUACGGGAGGCAGCAGUGAGGAAUAUUGGUCAAUGGACGAGAGUCUGAACCAGCCAAGUAGCGUGCAGGAUGACGGCCCUAUGGGUUGUAAACUGCUUUUAUAAGGGAAUAAAGUGAGUCUCGUGAGACUUUUUGCAUGUACCUUAUGAAUAAGGACCGGCUAAUUCCGUGCCAGCAGCCGCGGUAAUACGGAAGGUCCGGGCGUUAUCCGGAUUUAUUGGGUUUAAAGGGAGCGUAGGCCGGAGAUUAAGCGUGUUGUGAAAUGUAGACGCUCAACGUCUGCACUGCAGCGCGAACUGGUUUCCUUGAGUACGCACAAAGUGGGCGGAAUUCGUGGUGUAGCGGUGAAAUGCUUAGAUAUCACGAAGAACUCCGAUUGCGAAGGCAGCUCACUGGAGCGCAACUGACGCUGAAGCUCGAAAGUGCGGGUAUCGAACAGGAUUAGAUACCCUGGUAGUCCGCACGGUAAACGAUGGAUGCCCGCUGUUGGUCUGAAUAGGUCAGCGGCCAAGCGAAAGCAUUAAGCAUCCCACCUGGGGAGUACGCCGGCAACGGUGAAACUCAAAGGAAUUGACGGAAGGGCG
This 925-nucleotide ribosomal RNA is filed under the name uncultured bacterium. RNAcentral's name for it is "bacterial SSU rRNA". It matches the Rfam family "Bacterial small subunit ribosomal RNA", at positions 8 to 923 of the family's 1533-position model. The record is from RNAcentral.